RNAcentral lists this ribosomal RNA (503 nucleotides) under uncultured bacterium. RNAcentral's name for it is "partial 16S ribosomal RNA". It matches the Rfam family "Bacterial small subunit ribosomal RNA", at positions 29 to 523 of the family's 1533-position model. The record is from RNAcentral.
AACGAACGCUGGCGGCGUGUUUAAGACAUGCAAGUCGCACGGGAUAAGACAUGUAGUAAUACUUGUUUUAUUUAGUGGCGCACGGGUGAGUAACACGUGAAUUACAUGCCCUAUAGUGGGGAAUAGCCCAGGGAAACUUGGAUUAAUACCCCAUGGUAUCGAAAGAUUAAAGGUGGCCGCAAGGCUGUCGCUAUAGGAUUGGUUCGCGCCCUAUCAGCUUGUUGGUGAGGUAACGGCUCACCAAGGCGAUGACGGGUACCUGGUCUGAGAGGACGGUGAGGCCAACUGGAGCGAGAACAAGGUCCAGACACCUACGGGUGGCAGAAGUCGAGAAUAAUGCACAAUGGGGGCAACCCUGAUGGUGCAACGUCGCGUGGAGGAUGACGGUCUUCGGAGUGUAAACUCCUGUCAUCUGGGAGAAAGACCUGACGGUAAAUAGCCGGCAGGGUUGAUAGGACCAGAAGAGGAAGGGACGGCUAACUUCGUGCCAGCAGCCGCCGUAA